AACGAACGCUGGCGGCAUGCCUAACACAUGCAAGUCGAACGGGAUCCUGGCUUCGGUCAGGUGAGAGUGGCGGACGGGUGAGUAACGCGUGGGAACCUGCCCAGUGGUGGGGGAUAACUGCGGGAAACUGCAGCUAAUACCGCAUGAGCCCGAGAGGGGAAAGAUUUAUCGCCAUUGGAGGGGCCCGCGUUCGAUUAGGUAGUUGGUGAGGUAACGGCUCACCAAGCCGACGAUCGAUAGCUGGUCUGAGAGGAUGAUCAGCCACACUGGGACUGAGAUACGGCCCAGACUCCUACGGGAGGCAGCAGUGGGGAAUAUUGGACAAUGGGGGCAACCCUGAUCCAGCAAUGCCGCGUGAGUGAUGAAGGCCUCGGUUGU
This 378-nucleotide ribosomal RNA is filed under the name uncultured bacterium. RNAcentral describes it as "bacterial SSU rRNA". It matches the Rfam family "Bacterial small subunit ribosomal RNA", at positions 29 to 426 of the family's 1533-position model. The record is from RNAcentral.